AUUGAACGCUGGCGGCAUGCCUUACACAUGCAAGUCGAACGGCAGCACGGGUGCUUGCACCUGGUGGCGAGUGGCGAACGGGUGAGUAAUACAUCGGAACAUGUCCUGUAGUGGGGGAUAGCCCGGCGAAAGCCGGAUUAAUACCGCAUACGAUCUACGGACGAAAGCGGGGGACCUUCGGGCCUCGCGCUAUAGGGUUGGCCGAUGGCUGAUUAGCUAGUUGGUGGGGUAAAGGCCUACCAAGGCGACGCUCAGUAGCGGGUCUGAGAGGACGACCAGCCCCACUGGAACUGAGGACGGGCCCAGACCCCGAGGGGGGGCAGGAGGGGGGAAUUUUGGGAGAGGGGGGAAAGCCUAAACCAGCAAGGCGGGGGGGGUGAAAGAGGCCUUCGGGUGGUAAAGCAAUUUUGUCGGGAAGGAAAGCCUUGGCCCAAAAGCGGGGGGGGGAGGACGGUACGGGAAAAAUAACCACCGGUUACCUACGU
Molecule: ribosomal RNA, 485 nt
Filed under: uncultured bacterium
Lineage: Bacteria
Description: partial 16S ribosomal RNA
Rfam family: Bacterial small subunit ribosomal RNA
Source: RNAcentral